AAGUCGUAACAAGGUCUCCGUUGGUGAACCAGCGGAGGGAUCAUUACGGGAAGGCCGAAAGGCUGCCUGAAACCACCGCGAACCCUUCCACGUUGCUUCGGCGGUUACCCGCCGGAGGUACGAAACCCUUGUGUAUUACAGCGGCAUCUCUGAGCACGAAACGAACGAGUCAAAACUUUCAACAACGGAUCUCUUGGUUCUG
This 202-nucleotide unclassified non-coding RNA is filed under the name fungal sp. RNAcentral describes it as "partial internal transcribed spacer region". The stretch from base 1 to 46 matches the Rfam family "Eukaryotic small subunit ribosomal RNA", at positions 1786 to 1831 of the family's 1831-position model. Lineage: Eukaryota; Fungi. The record is from RNAcentral.